RNAcentral lists this ribosomal RNA (1073 nucleotides) under Cimex sp. RNAcentral describes it as "SSU rRNA". It matches the Rfam family "Eukaryotic small subunit ribosomal RNA", at positions 21 to 1011 of the family's 1831-position model. The record is from RNAcentral. Lineage: Eukaryota; Metazoa; Arthropoda; Insecta; Hemiptera; Cimicidae.
AGUCAUAUGCUUGUCUCAAAGCUUAAGCCAUGCAAGUCUCAGUACAGACUAUAUUAAAGUGAAACCGCAAAAGGCUCAGUAAACCAGUUUUAAUUUACUAGAGUUAACUUGACUGUGCUUGGAUAACUGUGGUAAUUCUAGAGCUAAUACAUGCAACAAAGCCGUGACCAUUCGUGGUCAGGGCGCUUUUAUUAGACCAAGACCAAUCGCCCGGCCAGUCCGGGCGUUAAGUUGAGGAACCUAGAUAACACAGCAGAUCGCAUGGUCUUUGUACCGGCGACCUAUCUUUCAAAUGCCUGACUUAUCAACUGACGAUGGUAGACUCUGUGUCUACCAUGGCUGUUACGGGUAACGGGGAAUCAGGGUUCGAUUCCGGAGAGGGAGCCUGAGAAACGGCUACCACAUCCAAGGAAGGCAGCAGGCACGCAAAUUACCCACUCCCGGAACGGGGAGGUAGUGACAAAAAAUAACGAUACGGGACUCGAUAUGAGGCCUCGUAAUCGGAAUGAGUACACUCUAAAUCCUUUAACAAAAAUCUAUUGGAGGGCAAGUCUGGUGCCAGCAGCCGCGGUAAUUCCAGCUCCAAUAGCGUAUAUUAAAGUUGUUGCGGUUAAAAAGCUCGUAGUUGGUUCUGCGUCCCGCGCUGUCGGUACACCGUUUGUCGGUGACACUGGCAUGACGCGGGAUGUCCUGUCGGUGGCGGCGGAGACCAUAUCGCCGUCGGCUAACACCGCGGCGUGUUGGCCUUCUGUCGCCGGCUUUAUCCUACCGCGGUGCUCUUCACUGAGUGUCGAGGUAGGCCGACACGUUUACUUUGAACAAAUUAGAGUGCUUAAAGCAGGCAAAAAUCUCUGCCAGAAUAGUGGUGCAUGGAAUAAUGGAACAGGACCUUGGUUCUAUUCUGUUGGUCUCCGGAACACAAGGUAAUGAUCAAUGUGGACAGGCGGGGGCAUUCGUAUUGCGGCGUUAGAGGUGAAAUUCUUGGAUCGUCGCAAGACGCACUAGAGCGAAAGCAAUUGCCAAGUAUGUCUUAAUUGAUCAAGAACGAAAGUUAGAGGUUCGAAGGCGAUCAA